GGGCUGGUACGAAUACAAGGAAAAUGGGGCCCAGGAGAAAAAGCUCUUCUACAGUUCUUCAGGAAAACUGGGAAAAGUGUGAAACUCUAAUGUGUCCCUGGAUUUCUUCAACCAAGAGCUAAACUUAAAUUAUCUUACUGCUUCACUGGGUGUUCGGUUGAAAUGUUUUACCAGAUUUACUAGCUCCAUCUCCAGGCUUUUCAGUGCUUAACAGGUCUCUUGUUAAACUGUAAGUCUUGGCCCCUGUGCUGCUGAGUAUGAUGAUUUUCUUCUUACCUUCAUCUGUAAUAUCACUAGCAACGAAUAAAUAAGAUAAUAUUUUGCAGUGUU
Molecule: long non-coding RNA, 330 nt
Organism: Chelonia mydas (Green sea turtle)
Lineage: Eukaryota; Metazoa; Chordata; Testudines; Cheloniidae
Exons: 3
Source: RefSeq, a predicted model, not a curated record